This is a long non-coding RNA of Liolophura sinensis, 713 nucleotides long. RefSeq lists it as uncharacterized. The record is from RefSeq and is a predicted model, not a curated record. Lineage: Eukaryota; Metazoa; Mollusca; Polyplacophora; Chitonida; Chitonidae. The transcript is spliced from 3 exons.
UCGUAGGAAAAGAAAAUACUGCUGUAUGUGCAAUAAUUAUCGGGGACAAGUUGUUUCUGGAAGGAAAGUUACCCUGCAUAGGUUUCCGUUAGACGAAAACAAGAGGAAGACGUGGAUUGAUGUCUGUCAAAAUGCAUUAGAGUCAUUCCAGUAUUCGGCUAACCGACUUCUGUGCUCGGAACAUUUUGUUGAUGGGAAUGUCCCCACAAAAGGCCCCACAAAAGGUCAACACCCGUGUCCUGUCUUUGGCGAAAGAUUUACAAAACAAAUGUUGAAGAAGCGACAAGAUGUGUUUUCAGGAUCUCGGCGUUGUGAGCCCAACCCUAGCAACAUGUUCAGCUGCAACUCUGGUGGUGCUGAAGAUGAACACAGUGAUCAUAAUUAUGCUUGCAGUUACGUUCUUAGAUGUAUGAAUGAGGAAGCUAGCGGAAACUAUGGACAAACAUCAGAAAGAUGGAAUGAUCAUUGUGUGGGUUAUAAAAUGACUAAGUACGACAUGACCGAUCAUGAUUUCCAUGGCGAUGUUAGUAUUAAUGAAAUCAGCGGUAUGAAGGAAGGCAGUGGUGGAGAGGAAACUGGUCGAGGUUCCAGUGGUAAUGAUUGUACAAAUCUAGCUGGCAGUGACAAUGUGAAUGAUCAUCUUACAAGUCCUGCUGGCAGUCGCAGCGUGAACACUGAUCUUACAAGUCCUGCUGGCAUGCCUGGCAGUCGCA